RNAcentral lists this ribosomal RNA (253 nucleotides) under uncultured bacterium. RNAcentral describes it as "partial 16S ribosomal RNA". It matches the Rfam family "Bacterial small subunit ribosomal RNA", at positions 524 to 776 of the family's 1533-position model. The record is from RNAcentral.
UACGUAGGGUGCAAGCGUUAAUCGGAAUUACUGGGCGUAAAGCGUGCGCAGGCGGUGAUGUAAGACAGAUGUGAAAUCCCUGGGCUCAACCCAGGAACUGCGUCCGAUACUGGAAGGCUUGAAUCCGGGAGAGGGAUGCGGAAUUCCAGGUGUAGCGGUGAAAUGCGUAGAUAUCGGGAGGAACACCAGUGGCGAAGGCGGCUACCUGGCCCACUCUUGACGCUGAGGCGCGAAAGCUAGGGGAGCAAACGGG